This 465-nucleotide ribosomal RNA is filed under the name uncultured Klebsiella sp. Its description in RNAcentral is "bacterial SSU rRNA". It matches the Rfam family "Bacterial small subunit ribosomal RNA", at positions 338 to 795 of the family's 1533-position model. Lineage: Bacteria; Pseudomonadati; Pseudomonadota; Gammaproteobacteria; Enterobacterales; Enterobacteriaceae. The record is from RNAcentral.
CCUACGGGGGGCAGCAGUGGGGAAUAUUGCACAAUGGGCGCAAGCCUGAUGCAGCCAUGCCGCGUGUGUGAAGAAGGCCUUCGGGUUGUAAAGCACUUUCAGCGGGGAGGAAGGCGGUGAGGUUAAUAACCUCAUCGAUUGACGUUACCCGCAGAAGAAGCACCGGCUAACUCCGUGCCAGCAGCCGCGGUAAUACGGAGGGUGCAAGCGUUAAUCGGAAUUACUGGGCGUAAAGCGCACGCAGGCGGUCUGUCAAGUCGGAUGUGAAAUCCCCGGGCUCAACCUGGGAACUGCAUUCGAAACUGGCAGGCUAGAGUCUUGUAGAGGGGGGUAGAAUUCCAGGUGUAGCGGUGAAAUGCGUAGAGAUCUGGAGGAAUACCGGUGGCGAAGGCGGCCCCCUGGACAAAGGCUGACGCUCAGGUGCGAAAGCGUGGGGAGCAAACAGGAUUAGAUACCCUUGUAGUC